This 295-nucleotide unclassified non-coding RNA is filed under the name uncultured Agaricales. RNAcentral's name for it is "sequence contains 5.8S rRNA gene, ITS2, 28S rRNA gene". The stretch from base 1 to 52 matches the Rfam family "5.8S ribosomal RNA", at positions 103 to 154 of the family's 154-position model. Lineage: Eukaryota; Fungi; Basidiomycota; Agaricomycetes; Agaricales. The record is from RNAcentral.
AACGCACCUUGCGCUCCUUGGUAUUCCGAGGAGCAUGCCUGUUUGAGUGUCAUUAAAUUCUCAAUCUCUACCAACUUGUGUGGUUUCGAGAUUGGAAGUGGGAGUCUUGUGGGUGUGUCUUAACUACAUCUGCUCUCCUAAAAAUCCUUAGCUGGGAAUGCCUUUGCAAAACCAACUAUCAGUAUGAUAAUUAUCUAUUCUGAUGUUGUUGUGAAGGGAAUCUGCUUCAAACCGUCGUUCUGACACUUUGAAUCUAUUUGACCUCAAAUCAGGUAGGACUACCCGCUGAACUUAA